This 637-nucleotide ribosomal RNA is filed under the name uncultured marine bacterium. RNAcentral's name for it is "bacterial SSU rRNA". It matches the Rfam family "Bacterial small subunit ribosomal RNA", at positions 8 to 616 of the family's 1533-position model. The record is from RNAcentral.
AGAGUUUGAUCAUGGCUCAGAAUGAACGCUGGCGGCGUGCUUAACACAUGCAAGUCGCACGAGAACUCUUUAGCUUGCUAAAGAUAGUAAAGUGGCGCACGGGUGAGUAACACGUGGGUAAUCUACCUCUGAAUCGGGGAUAACACUGCGAAAGCAAUGCUAAUACCGGAUAAUAUCUUUUGAGCUUUGGCUUAUCAGAUUAAAGGUGGCCUCUACAUAUAAGCUACUGUUUGGAGAUGGGCCCGCGCACCAUUAGCUUGUUGGCGGGGUAAUGGCCCACCAAGGCAUCGAUGGUUAGCUGGUCUGAGAGGAUGAUCAGCCACACUGGAACUGACACACGGUCCAGACUCCUACGGGAGGCAGCAGUGAGGAAUUUUGCGCAAUGGGGGAAACCCUGACGCAGCAACGCCGCGUGAGUGAUGAAGGCCCUUGGGUCGUAAAGCUCUGUCAAGUGGGAAGAACCUGCUUUAUGCUAAUACCAUAUUGCACUGACGGUACCACUGAAGGAAGCACCGGCUAACUCCGUGCCAGCAGCCGCGGUAAUACGGAGGGUGUAAGCGUUAUUCGGAAUUAUUGGGCGUAAAGAGCGCGUAGGCGGCCNUUUUAAGUCAGAUGUGAAAGCCCGAGGCUUAACCUC